Molecule: ribosomal RNA, 119 nt
Organism: Xiphophorus couchianus (Monterrey platyfish)
Lineage: Eukaryota; Metazoa; Chordata; Actinopteri; Cyprinodontiformes; Poeciliidae
Source: Ensembl
GAUGACAGAAAAAUUCCUCCAGUUAAGUCUAUUCUCAACCUAUCAUAGAAGGUAAGCAGAGUCAGGCCUGGCCAGUACUUGGAUGGGAAACUCCUUGGAAUUCAAGGUGUUUUUGAUCA